UAUUUAAAUUUAUUAUUGAAAGACAAUUAGAAUUAAUAAUACAAUAUAUUAUAUAAAAGUAUUUAUACAUUUUUAAAUUUUAGAUUCCUUGGUAUAAGUAACUUGGUUAUGCCUUUAUCCCUCGAUUAAUUCGCAUAAAACGUAGCUGAUAAUCGAACGUUCACUUUUCGACGAGAUACUUGCUACUUCAAUGGCGUAAGAAUUAUGCGAAAGUUCCUCUUGUCGCGGUUGAUGGCGCUGUGAUGUGGAUGUGGGUAAGCCGACAAUUUCAACGGAACCAAUGAAGUUACGACUUCCACCGGUAGAAACGACGGUUUAACUGCGCGUAUAAACUGCUACCUUCAGAAAUGUUGUCAAACUUCAACGUUCGCCCUCUUUCACAACCGUUCGAACUAUUAAACUGUGCUAACAUUUUGCACCUGUCGUGGAUCGAGUGAUUGCGUCACGUGAUGAGCAUUAACGAUAAUUGAUUAGACCUUUUUGCAAAGAUUUCGGUUUUGCUGGAAAGACUCGGAAUUUAGUAAUUGAAUUUCACUUUUUCUGCCCGAAUGACGGUGAUAUAUCGCAACUCAUCAGCAUCUCAUAUUCUGCGAGAGAUAAAUUCAUCGUGAGAGUGACUUAAACUUAUCCACAAGAAAAGUGAAUAGAUACGUUUUCUAGAAACUCGGCUCAAUUUAAUCAGUCAGUGUAAUCUGAUCCUAUUGACAAAGGCAGUGAGUUGUUUGGUUAAUUAUAAGGAGAGCAAACGAGAAAGACAUAACCUACAAUACAAUAAUUCAGAUCCUAGAUUAUUUCUCUUAGAUUAAUCAGGUUUUUAUUUCAGAUCCUUUUAAAAAAAUGAAAUACUGAGACAAUCAACUUUAUACGAGAUUUUCGGUGUACCUCGAAUUUCAACGCGAUUUUCGAUCGGAAGUAUUAAAGGAAAGGUCGUUAAGCUCGUGCACAGAAAGGGUCCAAAGGAUCCUUGUAUAACUUAUUUACCAACGUUCGCAUAUAGAGAUAGAUUCGGUAAACUACAGGUAAUUAUCCCGUAGUCUUGGAUCGCCACAAAGGAUCUUAAGGGACGCCUUUGAUUGAAUAGGGUUUGGCGUGUACACACGAAGGAAGGCGCAAGAUUGCAACGGGGAUUAAAAUAUUUCAAAAGGCCAGGGGUGGCCAGGUUUUCGGCCAAACGCGUAGAGUAAUGGUUCUUUUAAAUUUCUAAGCUGACCCAGAUACCCGCGCGGGUCGAGAGACAGAAGGUGUGUACACGAGCCACUCCUGUGAGAUCUUGCUUGAAGCAAGAUAAAAAAAAAAAGAAGCCUCCUCUUUCUCUUUAACGAUCAAGAAUUUCUUUUGGCGAUCUUUCUGCGGUAUUCAUAUUAAUGGUCGUUGGCGUCUUCCAAAGGGUGAUCACGUUUCUGCUGUAGCUGUAUUUCAACCUCGAUGUCGGCGGGGAUAAUCGUUUCAAGUGACCGUGGUAAUUAUUCGCAAACCGUUUUCAAAGCGUCUUGCCUUGGAAUUGGGUCGAGUUUAUUCCGUUUCGAGGGACGGAUAAAGAAUCUUGAGAAUAUCGGGAAUUUGAUUAUGUAAAAAUAUCGGACGAGAAAGAAUGUAUAUAGUUUCGUAGAAUUGUUAAAUAUGCAUUCGUGGGAGAAAAGAGACUUUAUCGACUUGAGGUAACUUUUCAUUUAAUUAAGAAUCUUGACAGAUGUAUUAUUAAUCGUGAAAAGUAAGAAAAGAAACUAUCUCGUGAUAUAUGAACCGUUUAAAACUUGAUCAAACUCUAUUAAAAUUAGAAAAAAUUUGAACCAUUGCAAUUCCGAAAAUAGCGACUUCCGGUCAACGAAUGAAAGAUCGUUGGAAGCGUGGAACUUUACCCUUUAAAACGAAUCUUCGUUCGUCACGAUACGACUUCCGGUUCUCGAGAUAUCAUCGUGUAAAGAAAAGGUAAUUUUCAAUCAUUUAUCUCGAAUCCCAUUGAAUUCUGUUAUUGAAAUUAGGAAAAGUUUGUAACCGCUGUAACUUUGAAAAUAAUAACUUUCGAACAACGAAUAAAAGAUCAUUAGAAUCGUGAAAUCUUGCUCUUUAAAACGGUUUCUCAUUCGUCACAAUACGUCUUCCGGUUCCUGAGAUAUCGUCGUAUAAAGAAAACCGUAAUUUUUAAUCGUUCAUCGUCUCGUUUACCGACCUAUCCUUACCGACUUAUUCCAAGCUUCGAACAAGCGGCAGAAACGGUUCGUAGAAAAAUAUAAUUAUUUCGUCUUUCUUCGUGAUGCGUAUAUAUAAAUUAAUCGUACGUGAUUUUUAUUUUUUAUACAAUUUAUAUCAAUAAUCCGAGAGGAAGGGAAGAAAUUAGAAAAAAAUAAAAGAAUGAAAUUAUAAAGAUUUGUGUUUGAAAACAUAUUUCAAUAUUUACGCGAGUGUUUACUUGGACAAUCGUAGCGUUGGUCAUUUUUCCUUCGCGCAACUCCACCCUAUAUUUACAAGAGUUCGCGCUUUGUCAUUGUUUUCCCUCGACUCGUAUUUCUCCAUUCCACCAGCCUCUUUCUUUUCUUCUUUUUUUUUUUUUCCUGUUGUUGAAAACCAACAGGGAAUUGGAACAAUGAGCUCGUUUAUAGUGACGAUUUAAUUUCGUUAAUUAACCGGGCACUUUGCUUCCAAGCGAAAACAAUUACGAUAUAGAAAAAAAAACUAAAAACAUGAUUCGUAUAAAAAAUUUUUAACCUCCAUUUAGAAAUAAUAACAUAAUUUUUUUGUUUUGUUUUCAAACAACAACGUUCGUCGCAACAACAAUAAUUUUAACGUGAUGCAGUAUUUCUAGGAAAAUAUGAACGUUCCUCGUUAAAUUGGAAUAACAAUGCAAUUCUAACUUGUGCCAUUUAUUCUUAUAUUCGUUUCAUUGAAAGCUAAUGGAAAAGAAUUUAUGGAUUUACGCGUAUUUUCUGAUGGAAGGAAAAAAUAAAUCGUUUGUAAUAAAACAACGAGGAUAAAAAUAAAAAUGAACGGGAAAUAUAUUUUAUUGCAAAUU
This is a long non-coding RNA of Apis mellifera (honey bee), 3010 nucleotides long. RefSeq lists it as uncharacterized. Lineage: Eukaryota; Metazoa; Arthropoda; Insecta; Hymenoptera; Apidae. The record is from RefSeq and is a predicted model, not a curated record. The transcript has 3 exons.